Molecule: transfer RNA, 85 nt
Filed under: bacterium ADurb.Bin132
Lineage: Bacteria
Also listed under: 3 other names
Description: tRNA-Leu
Rfam family: tRNA
About the family: Transfer RNA (tRNA) molecules are approximately 80 nucleotides in length. Their secondary structure includes four short double-helical elements and three loops (D, anti-codon, and T loops).
Source: RNAcentral
GCCGAGGUGGCGGAAUUGGUAGACGCGUACGUUUGAGGGGCGUAUGGGGAGACCUGUGCGGGUUCAAGUCCCGCCCUCGGCACCA